GCUUCCUUGGUGUAGUUGGUUAUCACGUGGGUCUCAUAGUUAUCAUCUGUUGAUAUACGUAUAUAUGAUCUAGCACCUUGUCUAGAGUAAUCCCAAGGUCGCCAGUUCGAUCCUGGCAGGGAGCA
Molecule: non-coding RNA, 125 nt
Organism: Neocucurbitaria cava
Lineage: Eukaryota; Fungi; Ascomycota; Dothideomycetes; Pleosporales; Cucurbitariaceae
Source: the annotation of a GenBank genome assembly